RNAcentral lists this long non-coding RNA (1708 nucleotides) under Homo sapiens (human). RNAcentral's name for it is "HSALNT0343646". Lineage: Eukaryota; Metazoa; Chordata; Mammalia; Primates; Hominidae. The record is from RNAcentral.
GUCUGAAAUCAGGAUGGCUCUUAAGAGCUUUCAAAAGAGGCUCUGCAGGUGCUAGCCAGGGAACCUAACAAGUUGCUUUUGCUUGCGUGUGUGCAUGUGGCAACUUUACCAGGCCCAGAAGGGAGGUGUUCACUUCAUUUGAUUUAGUAUCACUGGGAGCACCACUGGUGCACGCUAUCUCAAUUUAAUUUAGAAGUGUCAUUGUAAAACAGCAACAAAAAUAUUUUCAAACGGGUUUCCCCCAUAGUGCAGCAUUGAAACAGAGUUACUGUGAAUACAGAAGACUGUCUAUCCCACAGCAGGCAAUGCAAUUAAAGACUUCAGAGAAUGCCAGAUUUUUCAGAAUGCAUCAUAGAAUUUUCAAAGCUGUAAGAAAGAGGUGAGGAUGCUGAGAUGUAGAGAGACUGAUUUGCUCAAGAUAACAAAGAGUUUUAUUGAUUUGGGAACCCAUGGAAGGGGGUCAGCUGUGAGAUAUCACAUGAUCAGACUGACUGCCUGACCAGACUGACUGCCAUCCUGUUAAAGGAAUGAAUCACAGUUCAUCUCGCAGAUUUAUGGCAUGCCUACAGAAAAAGUACCUUAUGAUGCAAACCUGAAAGUUUAAAUAAUCUCCUGAAAGUUCCACAAUCAGCUGCAGAGAACUCCAGGAGCUGUUUUUAAAGAAGAUUAAGCUCUCACCCCUGCAGUACGCUUCUUUCCGUUGGGUUUCCUCCGCCUGUAAGUCACCUUUCUUGAAGGGGUAUCUUCAAGAAGACCCAAGCCUGCCUAGCUUUCCUGGUGUCCUCCUGGCCAUAGGAAACUCUCCUGUUUUUGUCUCACUGCACCGUUACCUCUUCUUUUCCAUACCAUUCUACUCCAGCCAGGUUCCAGCUUUCAUCAUUCUCCAGAGAAGACAUCUCCAUUUUCACAUAAGCUCCCCAACUCUCAAGAAGACAUGUCAAACUUCAAAGAACUUUUUUUACUAUGUGCUCCCAUGCUCUGAUGGCAACAUCUAAAUAGGUUUACAAGUUUCUGAAGUUCAGCAUGUGAAGGGGUCAAUGGGGGAACUGAGAUGCAGAUCCCCUUUUCUUGAGGACACCUCUAAUUUGGUUUCACAGAGCUGGGAGAUGGUGCUCCCUCCUCUCCUCCACAAAGAGAAAAGCCACGGCACACUUCCUCACUGCGGCCCCCUCUAAAAUCUUUCUCUAUUCAACUAACGUUCUUUUGAGUUAUUUUCCUUUAUGUGAUCUGGUUGCCAUACAGAGGAUGAAGCCCUCUUUUAUAAUAUAAACCCUGAAGGGCAUGUAUGGCAGGUUCUUAAUGUUCUCUUUGGAAUUUGAUGCUACAUAGCUUCUAAUAUACUGAAUUUUGGGACUCUAAACAACAUUCUAAAACAAUAGGAAAAGUCUUUCCAAUAUCAUGAUGUGAUCAUCAUUGCUGUUUCUUUUAUUUUUAAUCUUUUUAAAAUUUCACUUAACUUUUAUAAAUAGAGAUUUGUAUUUUAAAAUAUUCCAAUGUGUGGAAAUGUUUCUUGUAAUAAAAGGGAAUAUUCCCUUUAAUUUUUCUCAUGCACCUAUAUUUGGUUUUUCCUCACUUAGUUUAUGCUGUUUUUCUAUCCCCUUGUGCUUUCUACUGUUUUCUGUCUUUGAUUACAUGUACUGAGUGAUUAUUUUGUUUUUUAAAUCGUGGUUUUUAAAAUUUUUUAAAUUUAAGUUCCAGGAUACAUGUG